CCUAUAAAAAUCAGGCUGUGAGAGAGUGGCAAAAACGUUGUGGGCACCUUUGGUACUCCAUCUUUCAUGGUCACUACAAGAAAACACGGCUCUCAUCAUCUGGAUCUCUUUGGAAAAAGAGCAUUCUUCUGCAUUAUAUCUCACAAGUUUCCACCAUGGAGCUUGAACAUUUAAACUACUUUUGCCUUUGAAAGGGUAUUUGCUUAACCCGGAAAAGCAAGAAGAACAUGGAUAACAGUAAUAACUGUAGGUGAUUUUUUAUGAUUAACUCAGAUGUCAUAGAUUGGCGUAUUAAAACCAUUUAAUGAGUACUGGUGCACCACCCUUAUACGAAAUUCUGACCUGGCACCGAAAGAAGGAAAGUUAAUGUCCAAUGGAAGGAUUUCGAGGUCCACAUCCACCAGCUGGUGUUCCCGAACCUGCUGUUUCUCUUUGCAAUGGAAGGCUUAAUUUAGAUGGGUAUGGCAAUCGUGGGUCUAGCUUUCCAGGCCUAAAGAAGAGAGGUCAUGCUCUUGGAAAUCGUUCAUGGAUAAAGAUUGAUCAGGAUGGGAACUCAAAGAUUUUGGAACUUGACAAGGUCACUAUAAUGAGACACUGUUCUUUGCCUUCCAGGGAUCUGCGCCUUUUGGACCCCCUUUUUAUUUAUCCUUCCACAAUUUUAGGACGGGAGAAGGCUAUUGUGGUCAGUCUUGAACAAAUUAGAUGUAUAAUUACAGCAGAUGAGGUUAUCCUGAUGAAUUCCGUGGAUGUAUGUGUUGUCCGGUACAUGUCAGAAUUCUGCAAACGUCUUCAGACAAAUCGAGAACAAGCGGAUGACUUGCCAUUUGAAUUCAGAGCUCUGGAAUUGACUUUGGAACUAACUUGCACAUCUCUUGAUGCUCAGGUAAAGGAAUUGGAAUUGGAGGUAUAUCCAGCAUUGGAUGAACUAGCAACAUCUAUUAAUACUCUUAAUCUGGAACGUGUCCGUAGACUCAAGGGCCACCUCCUUGCAUUGACUCAGCGAGUUCAGAAGGUCCAUGAUGAGAUAGAACAUCUCAUGGAUGAUGAUGGCGACAUGGCCGAGAUGCAUCUUACAAAGAAAAAACAAAGGUUGGAAGCUUAUGCUUUAGGUGAUAUAUAUUUUCAAAAUGAUAUCCCAGCUGAGACCAGAGUGGUUUCAAAAUCUGCACCUGGUUCACCAGUGAGGUCAAUUAGUGGAGCCCAGAAAUUGCAGAGAGCAUUUAGCAAUACAAGUCCAAGCAAACAUGGAAGCUUGAUGAGUUCAUCCAGUAACGGCGAGAAUAUUGACGAACUUGAAAUGUUACUCGAAGCUUACUUUGUUGCUAUUGACAACACUCAAAGCAAGUUGUUCACGCUCAAAGAAUACAUAGAUGAUACUGAAGAUUUGAUCAAUAUCAAACUGGGAAAUGUUCAGAACCAACUGAUUCAAUUCGAGUUGCUUCUUACUGCAGCUACCUUUGUGGCUACAAUAUUUGCUGUUGUGACAGGAAUAUUUGGGAUGAACUUUGUAGCCUCAAUUUUUGAUUUACCAUCUGCAUUUAAUUGGGUUCUGAUUAUAACUGGUCUUGCAUGUGUGUUCUUGUAUUUCUCUUUCUUGUUUUAUUUUAGAUACAAGAAGGUCUUUCCAUCGUAAACUUCAUUUUAGAGUAAGCUGCUCCAAUGAAGACAAACUCUUGAUUUGUUUUGUAGAAACCCAUGAUUCAAUUUGAUUUUCCUCUCUCUGGGGGGUCAAUUGAUGCUCUUCCAAGAUUGCAGGGCUUGCUCUAUAUGUUUACAUGCAUCGCACGAGGUUAUCUAUUAAGUUUGGCAUCACUUGCCCUAUAAAGGCAAGCAUCUGGCCAUGGGAAAGCACAGUGUGCCUCGUCCGUAAGUGGCUUUAUUAUGUCAUUUGAUCUGAAGAUCAUUUAUGCGUAUUCUGUAAUUUGAUAAUGUAUCAAGGCCUGUGCUUGUUACAGUACAGGCUUUACCUUCAGGUAAACCUUGCUACACCUGCGUCAAAUGCAGGCUAUCACAUGACGAUAAACUUUUGAAUAAAAUUCUGUUUCUACA
Populus trichocarpa (black cottonwood) is the source of this 2049-nucleotide RNA transcript. It is a transcript of the gene named magnesium transporter MRS2-5, with no coding region annotated. The transcript is spliced from 8 exons. Lineage: Eukaryota; Viridiplantae; Streptophyta; Magnoliopsida; Malpighiales; Salicaceae. The record is from RefSeq and is a predicted model, not a curated record.